ACGAGAAUAUUCCGCAAUGGGCGAAAGCCUGACGGAGCGACGCCGCGUGAUGGAUGAAGUGCCUUGGUACGUAAACAUCUUUUAUCGGGGACGAAGUUUAUUGACGGUACCCGAUGAAUAAGGGGCUCCUAACUCUGUGCCAGCAGGAGCGGUAAUACAGAGGCCCCAAGCAUUACCCGGAAUCACUGGGCGUAAAGGGUGUCUAGGCGGUCAUAUUAGUCUCUCGUUAAAUGUCCGGGCUCAACCUGGUCACCGCGAGGGAAACGGUAUGACUCGAGGGCGUAAGAGGUGCACGGAACUCAUGGUGGAGGGGUGAAAUCCGUUGAUAUCAUGGGGAACACCAAAGGCGAAGGCAGUGCACUGGUACGUUCCUGACGCUCAAACACGAAAGCCAGGGUAGCGAACGGGAUUAGAUACCCCGGUAGUCC
Molecule: ribosomal RNA, 428 nt
Filed under: uncultured bacterium
Lineage: Bacteria
Description: bacterial SSU rRNA
Rfam family: Bacterial small subunit ribosomal RNA
Source: RNAcentral